GCUAUCGCCAAGCGGUAAGGCACAGGACUUUGACUCCUGCACUCGUGGGUUCGAAUCCCGCUAGCC
Molecule: transfer RNA, 66 nt
Filed under: bovine gut metagenome
Rfam family: tRNA
About the family: Transfer RNA (tRNA) molecules are approximately 80 nucleotides in length.
Source: RNAcentral